AAACAUGUCUUUUUGUGUAUAAUUUAAAGUCGGGUCUGCUCAAUGAUAAAUUAAUUAAAUAGCUGCAGUAUUUUAACUGUACAAAGGUAGCAUAAUCAAUAGUUUUUUAAUUUAAAGCUGGAAUGAAGGAUUUGAUAAAAUAAAUAUUGUCUCAAAUUUAAAAAAAUUAAAAUUUUAUUUUUAGUAAAAAAUCUUAUUUAAUUUUAAAAGACGAGAAGACCCUAUAGAUUUUUAUAAUUAUAUAAUUUAUUAAGGUAAAUAUAAUAGAAUUAAUAGUUUAUUUAAUUAUUUGAUUGGGGAAAUUAUUAAAUUAAUAAAAUUUUAAUUUUUAUUAAACAAAAAUUAUUGAAUUUAUGAUUUUAAAUAUUUAAAUUAAAAGAAUAAAAUACCUUAGGGAUAACAGCGUAAUUUUUUUGGAGAGAUCUUAUUAAUAAAAAAGUUUGCGACCUCGAUGUUGAAUUAAGAUAAAAUUUUAAUGAAGAAGUUAAAUAUUUUUGGUCUGUUCGACCAUUAAAAUCUUACAUGAUCUGAGUUCAAACCGG
This 542-nucleotide ribosomal RNA is filed under the name Bozakites sp. 1 BFS-2018. Its description in RNAcentral is "partial 16S large subunit ribosomal RNA". The stretch from base 396 to 542 matches the Rfam family "Archaeal large subunit ribosomal RNA", at positions 2542 to 2688 of the family's 2987-position model. The record is from RNAcentral. Lineage: Eukaryota; Metazoa; Arthropoda; Insecta; Hymenoptera; Ichneumonidae.